Molecule: long non-coding RNA, 722 nt
Filed under: Oryzias sinensis (Chinese medaka)
Lineage: Eukaryota; Metazoa; Chordata; Actinopteri; Beloniformes; Adrianichthyidae
Description: lncRNA (ENSOSIG00000015739.1)
Source: RNAcentral
UUAAAUCUGAGUCUGUAACUUUCCCAGAAUGAGGUUUCUCUUUGUUUGUUCUUUUUUUCAGGGACCCAACGGACCAAAAGGAGGUGAAGGCGCCAGGGGCCCAACGGGACCAAAGGGUCCUCCGGGUCCAUCGGGUCCCCCCGGACCAAAGGGUACCAUGACUAAAGUCCUGAAGGGAGUCAAAGGAGAGCAAGUGAGUACUGCUGUUCUAAACAAAUUUAGGAACACUUUGUGUGUCAUGUAAAAUGAUAGAGACCAAAUUAGCCAAAGAAAGUUGUCCAAAAACUGCUUCAAAAAUGCUGAAUUAAGUGGAGGAAUCUGAAAAUAUUGUGUACAAGUGAAAGAGCUUUUUAUAAGGAAGCACAUUAACGUUCUUAGCUUUUUGUAAGGAUUUGACUCUAUUUAAAAAACGUAACAUAACAACAACACUUCUUUACAUGUUUUGGCUGCAGGGAGAUGUUGGACAGCCAGGCCCACCAGGAAACGACACUCGGCAGCAAAUAAAGCCGCCCUCUGUAAUCUGCAAUUUCCUCUUAUUUUUAUGCAAUGGUGCAAUCAAGGACGUCUGGUUCAUAAAGGAACUCCUUUUUUUGUGUGUUUUUUUGUUUGUUCAAGGGACCACCUGGAGAGAAAGGGCAAAAAGGACAAGAAGGAGAAGUGGACAUCAUUACAGGAGAACCCGGCAUACCGGGACCACCGGGACCCAGGGGGGAAAUGGGUAG